AGCUUUUUGAAUCCGCGCAGAGAUUUCGUCAAACACCAAAGUAUUAGGGCUGAUCGGACUUCCAAGAUAGGUGAAGUU
This 78-nucleotide microRNA precursor is filed under the name Schistosoma haematobium. RNAcentral describes it as "mir-3492 microRNA precursor family". It matches the Rfam family "mir-3492 microRNA precursor family". Lineage: Eukaryota; Metazoa; Platyhelminthes; Trematoda; Strigeidida; Schistosomatidae. The record is from Rfam by way of RNAcentral.